Molecule: ribosomal RNA, 250 nt
Filed under: uncultured bacterium
Lineage: Bacteria
Description: partial 16S ribosomal RNA
Rfam family: Bacterial small subunit ribosomal RNA
Source: RNAcentral
UACGUAGGUGGCAAGCGUUGUCCGGAUUUACUGGGCGUAAAGGGAGCGUAGGUGGAUAUUUAAGUGGGAUGUGAAAUACUCGGGCUUAACCUGGGUGCUGCAUUCCAAACUGAAUAUCUAGAGUGCAGGAGAGGAAAGUAGAAUUCCUAGUGUAGCGGUGAAAUGCGUAGAGAUUAGGAAGAAUACCAGUGGCGAAGGCGACUUUCUGGACUGUAACUGACACUGAGGCUCGAAAGCGUGGGGAGCAAAC